GCGGCGCUAGUCUAAUGGUAGGACAGAAGCUUCCCAAGCUUCUAACGCGGGUUCGAUUCCCGCGCGCCGCA
This 71-nucleotide transfer RNA is filed under the name Euryarchaeota archaeon RBG_16_67_27. RNAcentral describes it as "tRNA-Gly". It matches the Rfam family "tRNA". Rfam says of the family: Transfer RNA (tRNA) molecules are approximately 80 nucleotides in length. Their secondary structure includes four short double-helical elements and three loops (D, anti-codon, and T loops). The record is from RNAcentral. Lineage: Archaea; Methanobacteriati; Methanobacteriota.